Molecule: ribosomal RNA, 253 nt
Filed under: uncultured bacterium
Lineage: Bacteria
Description: partial 16S ribosomal RNA
Rfam family: Bacterial small subunit ribosomal RNA
Source: RNAcentral
GACGGAGGAUGCAAGCGUUAUCCGGCAUGAUUGGGCGUAAAGCGUUCGCAGGUGGCUGUUCAAGUCUGCUGUCAAAGACCGGGGCUUAACCCUAGAAAGGCAGUGGAAACUGAACGGCUGGAGUGCAGUAGGGGUAGAGGGAAUUCCCAGUGUAGCGGUGAAAUGCGUAGAGAUUGGGAAGAACACCGGUGGCGAAAGCGCUCUGCUGGACUGCAACUGACACUGAGGGACGAAUGCUAGAGGAGCGAAAGGG